RNAcentral lists this ribosomal RNA (495 nucleotides) under uncultured bacterium. RNAcentral describes it as "bacterial SSU rRNA". It matches the Rfam family "Bacterial small subunit ribosomal RNA", at positions 430 to 917 of the family's 1533-position model. The record is from RNAcentral.
CUGCUUUUGUACGGAACGAAAAAGUCCGGGUUAAUACCCUGGGCCCAUGACGGUACCGUAAGAAUAAGCACCGGCUAACUACGUGCCAGCAGCCGCGGUAAUACGUAGGGUGCAAGCGUUAAUCGGAAUUACUGGGCGUAAAGCGUGCGCAGGCGGUUGUGUAAGACAGGCGUGAAAUCCCCGGGCUCAACCUGGGAAUGGCGCUUGUGACUGCACAGCUCGAGUGCGGCAGAGGGGGAUGGAAUUCCGCGUGUAGCAGUGAAAUGCGUAGAUAUGCGGAGGAACACCAAUGGCGAAGGCAAUCCCCUGGGCCUGCACUGACGCUCAUGCACGAAAGCGUGGGGAGCAAAACAGGAUUAGAUACCCUGGUAGUCCACGCCCUAAACGAUGUCAACUGGUUGUUGGGUCUUAGCUGACUCAGUAACGAAGCUAACGCGUGAAGUUGACCGCCUGGGGAGUACGGCCGCAAGGUUGAAACUCAAAGGAAUUGACGGG